Molecule: ribosomal RNA, 1174 nt
Filed under: Staphylococcus epidermidis
Lineage: Bacteria; Bacillati; Bacillota; Bacilli; Caryophanales; Staphylococcaceae
Description: bacterial SSU rRNA
Rfam family: Bacterial small subunit ribosomal RNA
Source: RNAcentral
CAGCUCACGGUGUGCUAUACAUGCAGUCGAGCGACAGACGAGGAGCUUGCUCCUCUGACGUUAGCGGCGGACGGGUGAGUAACACGUGGAUAACCUACCUAUAAGACUGGGAUAACUUCGGGAAACCGGAGCUAAUACCGGAUAAUAUAUUGAACCGCAUGGUUCAAUAGUGAAAGACGGUUUUGCUGUCACUUAUAGAUGGAUCCGCGCCGCAUUAGCUAGUUGGUAAGGUAACGGCUUACCAAGGCAACGAUGCGUAGCCGACCUGAGAGGGUGAUCGGCCACACUGGAACUGAGACACGGUCCAGACUCCUACGGGAGGCAGCAGUAGGGAAUCUUCCGCAAUGGGCGAAAGCCUGACGGAGCAACGCCGCGUGAGUGAUGAAGGUCUUCGGAUCGUAAAACUCUGUUAUUAGGGAAGAACAAAUGUGUAAGUAACUAUGCACGUCUUGACGGUACCUAAUCAGAAAGCCACGGCUAACUACGUGCCAGCAGCCGCGGUAAUACGUAGGUGGCAAGCGUUAUCCGGAAUUAUUGGGCGUAAAGCGCGCGUAGGCGGUUUUUUAAGUCUGAUGUGAAAGCCCACGGCUCAACCGUGGAGGGUCAUUGGAAACUGGAAAACUUGAGUGCAGAAGAGGAAAGUGGAAUUCCAUGUGUAGCGGUGAAAUGCGCAGAGAUAUGGAGGAACACCAGUGGCGAAGGCGACUUUCUGGUCUGUAACUGACGCUGAUGUGCGAAAGCGUGGGGAUCAAACAGGAUUAGAUACCCUGGUAGUCCACGCCGUAAACGAUGAGUGCUAAGUGUUAGGGGUUUCCGCCCCUUAGUGCUGCAGCUAACGCAUUAAGCACUCCGGCCUGGGGAGUACGACCGCAAGUUUGAAACUUCAAAGGAAUUGACCGGGGACCCGCACAAGCGGUGGAGCAUGUGGUUUAAUUCCGAAGCAACGCGAAGAACCUUUACCCAAAUCCUUGGACAUUCCUCUGAACCCUCUAGAGAUCAGAGUUCCCCUUCCGGGAACAAGAUGGAAGUGUGCCAUGGUUUCCGUCCAGCUUAGGGUCUGAGAAUGUCGGCUACAGGUCCCGACCAGAGCGCCACCUUAACGCGUAGUGCCCAUCUAAGGUUGGGGCUCUAAAUGACUCGCGGUGCACCACGUAGAAGGAAAAGUGGGAUUACG